Molecule: ribosomal RNA, 2188 nt
Filed under: Triticum aestivum (bread wheat)
Lineage: Eukaryota; Viridiplantae; Streptophyta; Magnoliopsida; Poales; Poaceae
Description: partial small subunit ribosomal RNA
Source: RNAcentral
CUGAACUAGAUGAAUUAUUGAGAAAAUGAGGGAGGGGUGAAAAUCAAGCCCAUAUUAAAGCUGGGCCACACGCCCCACGGGUGCGCACGCUAUAAACAUGCCUGCCACCCCGGGUCCCGGCUGGAACACAGCCAAACAAAACAAUGGAGUCCGCCUUUCCAACAGCUGCACGGCUCGGGCUCCAUGUCCUCCUCUACUCAUCGCUGCUCCUCAACGCCCUCUUCCUCGUGCACCACUUCCUCUCCGCCCCGCCGGCGCCGUCCCCGCUUCUCAGCGAGGCCAACAACGGCGGUGCGCUGAGCUGGACGCUAAGGGCGGCCAGGGAUGCCGAGUCCGUGGCCGCGGCGGGAUGCUCUGGCCACGGCCGCGUGUUCCUGGAUGGCAUCGUCGGCGAGGACGGGCGGCCCGGGUGCGAGUGCAACACCUGCUUCGAAGGGCCGGACUGCUCCGCCCGGACGCCCGACUGCACCGUCGACGCCGACAGCGGGGACCCGAUGUUCCUGGAGCCACACUGGAUGCGGCACGCGGAGGCCAGCGCCGUGGUGGUCUCCGGGUGGCACCGCAUGAGCUACAGAGCCACCGACGGUCUCUUCCAGUCCGUCGAGCUCGAGCGCUGCAUCAGGCGGCUGCACAGGGCCGUCGGCAACGCCGUCGCCGACGACAAGCAAAUCGUCUUCGCCACCGGCUCCAUGCAGCUGAUCAACGCGCUGGUGUACGCCCUGUCCCCAGACAGCAACUCCGGCUCGACGGCCAACGUGGUCGCCACCACGCCGUACUACCCGGCUUACAGAACGCAGAUCGUGUUGUUCGACAGCCGGGAGUACAAAUGGGCCGGGAACACCUCCAUGUGGGCGAAAGCGUCGGGGAACUCCACCACCAAGGAGGACGUCAUCGAGUUCGUGACGUCGCCGAACAACCCCGACGCCCUGCUCCACCAGCCCGUCGUCGUCGGCUCGUCGGCGAUCCUCGACCACGCCUACUUCUGGCCGCACUUCACGCACAUCCCCGCGCCCUCCGACGCGGACGUCAUGCUCUUCACCACCUCCAAGCUCUCCGGCCAUGCCAGCAGUCGAUUCGGGUGGGCGCUGAUAAGGGACGAGAAGGUGGCCAAGAGGGUCAAUGACUACAUUAUGCAGAACACCAUGGGCGCGUCCCGCGACACCCAGCUCCGGAUGCUUGCCAUCUUCAAGACCAUACUGGCCAACCUGCACGGCAAGGAGGACAUCUUCGCCUUCGGGCACGACGUGAUGACGGCCAAAUGGCGCAAGCUUAGCGCCGUCGUGUCGCACUCCCGCCGGAUCUCGCUGCAGAACAUCCCUCCCCAGUACUGAACCUACUUCGACAAGAUCAGGGAGCCAUCCCCAGCUUAUGCGUGGGUCAAGUGUGAGAGGGAGGAAGACAGUGACUGCUCCGACGUGCUGCUCAAGGCCAAGAUAAUCACACGGUCCGGCGUCUGGAACGAUGCCAGCAGCCGGUACACGAGGAUAAGCCUCAUCAAGUCCCAGGACGACUUCGACCUGCUCCUCGACAGGAUCACAGAAUUUGUCGAUGCCGAGCUCACCGCUGCUGGUUCCAACUCCAUGUGAUGUCCCGUGUUAAUAUACAGAAACGGGUCAAGGAAAUGUGAGCAUACAGAAGGUAUGUAUUUGGUUAGGACGGGUACCAAAAGUGCGACGUCCAGAGGUCAGCUACGUGUUGGUUGUGUCCCAGACUCCCAGGCUAGGUGAUGAUCGAGGAGCACGCGUUGUGACUGGACACUGAACAUUACUCGAAUGAUCAGCUAUGCGUUGAUUGUUCUCACCGUGUGUUACUUAUUAGACAAGAAAAAUGUUUCCAUGCUGUAUUGAGUGGAGGAUUAAGGAGCACAUGCAAAGCUCAGAAACUGGUACAUUAAUGCUAGUUUGUCCGAGUCAUAAUUUUCUUUUCUUUUUUGUGUGGGAACUCAGGGAGUUUUUAUUGAAUAGUGAUGCUCAGAUAGUGAUGAUGAAAAAACCUCUAGUGUUUAUGAUACCCUGGAAAGAGCUAAGUUAUACUUUCUCCGUCCAUAAUAUAAUAGUGUUUUUUUUACACGGGAGUAGCAUUCAGUCGGUAAAAUCCUCAAAGUUGUGUUCAGGUUUGAGCUAGCUAAAAAAGGGGAGGACAAAGGGUCAGUUAUGUCAGGAAUCUUCUGGAAUUGCAUGAGUUUGGG